Long non-coding RNA from Myotis brandtii (Brandt's bat), 861 nucleotides. RefSeq lists it as uncharacterized. The transcript is spliced from 2 exons. The record is from RefSeq and is a predicted model, not a curated record. Lineage: Eukaryota; Metazoa; Chordata; Mammalia; Chiroptera; Vespertilionidae.
CACACACCCUUUAGCGCUUCAUGAAUCGUGAGACCCAAGUAUGCCCAAGUGAAGCCUUCUCCUUGCUCACAUAUUCUACGGUGCCUUGGAGAAGUUAUGUGAGAAGAGCAGAAAUAUGAAAUAUUUAUUGGCCAAACCAUAAUGCUAUGCCAUGAUCAUAGUUCUUCAAACACAACCCACCAUUCUCAAGGGAAUGUUCCAAGAGCCUUGGGAACCCCCAGAUUGAGGGAAAGCCUCGGCCUGACCCUAAGCGGGGCGCCCAGGCAGCCCUGCUGACCUCCUGCAGGCCCCAGGAGCCACGCUGCUGAGUCUACUAGCGCAGACCCGGGAGAAAUAGGGUUCGAGCCCAGGACGCCUGGAGGACAGGGACAUUCUUGGAGUACCACAAGGACAACAAUUUAAAGAGUGCUUUUGCAAGUCCAUGACAUUCUUGUGACCAGGGCCCAUGAUGGCUCCCUGGUAUUUUAAAUUUCUCUCUCUAGUGAAGCACAUUAUAAUAAGAUUUCUGGAUAGAAAAGGAGGCCCUGCAAAAGCCAGCAUGCCAAAGUGAAGAAAAAAACAUGUAAAGAAGAUAUUUAUGAGAGACAAAUAUUAGUACUAUGGUGUAUAAACUAUUGAAUUUCAAUAUAAGAGUUUUGUCUCUAGACCCCAAUGUUUAUUGAGUGCCUGCUAUGAGGCUUUCUUCACUGGCCAAAAUGAAGAUGUGAAGAAAAUGGAUAAUGGCUCUUUUCUUCAGCACUAGGUGGGCUAUUAUUAAAGAAAAUGUUGAAGAUUUUCACUUAGGAAACCAGUGAACCCACAUUUCUAUUAAGACGGACCCAUAUAUCACACAAGGGGGAAAUAAAUAUGUACUUCAAUCCG